Molecule: long non-coding RNA, 516 nt
Organism: Mauremys reevesii (Reeves's turtle)
Lineage: Eukaryota; Metazoa; Chordata; Testudines; Geoemydidae
Exons: 3
Source: RefSeq, a predicted model, not a curated record
ACUUCAGUGGGCACUGGAUCAGGCCUUCUAUUCUCAUGCUCUACAGAGCUCAUCAAUGAUUGUGGUGCACAAACAGGAAGCAAAAUGUAAAACAACUGCUGUGCUCCCUGAGAAACAAAUGGAGAGAAAAACACCAAUAUUUGCCAAAGAGAAAAGAUCAAAUGCUUGUGAAGGACUUCCUAGGGGAAAGUAACCUUCACCUUCCAUCCUCCCCACAAGAGUAAUGAAAGCUUCUGAAGUUCCAGAUGGUCUGGAACAAAAGGAUACAGGAGCGGAUGGGAACAAUACACACUAGAAAAAUUUAAAUGCCGCCAAAAGGAAAAUGAGGAAUCAUUUCCCAAGGAUAGACUCCUGCAAACAAUUCCUACGCAAGCAAAAAUCCAGCCUUCAGGUAAAAGAUAAGACUGUAUUGAAGAUAAAGCACAUUGCCCCAUCAACCAUUGAGCCAGGUUAUCCCCUCCAGUGGUAAAACCUUUGGAAGGAGGAAAUCUCCACAGAGAUCCUCUCAUAUCAUCC